GUAACAAGGUCUCCGUAGGUGAACCUGCGGAGGGAUCAUUACUGAGUGAGGGCUUCGGUCCGACCUCCAACCCUUUGUGAACCAACUUGUUGCUUCGGGGGCGACCCUGCCGCUUCGGCGGCGUGGCGCCCCCGGAGGCCAUCAAACACUGCAUCAUUGCGUCGGAGUAACAGUAAAUGAAACAAAACUUUCAACAACGGAUCUCUUGGUUCCAGCAUCGAUGAAGAACGCAGCGAAAUGCGAUAAGUAAUGUGAAUUGCAGAAUUCAGUGAAUCAUCGAAUCUUUGAACGCACAUUGCGCCCUCUGGUAUUCCGGGGGGCAUGCCUGUUCGAGCGUCAUUUCACCACUCAAGCCUGGCUUGGUAUUGGGCGUCGCGGCUCCGCGCGCCUUAAAGUCUUCCGGCUGAGCCGUCCGUCUCUAAGCGUUGUGGCAACUAUUCGCUUCGGAGGUCGGGUGGCCGCGGCCGUUAAAUCUUUCACAAGGUUGACC
Molecule: ribosomal RNA, 490 nt
Filed under: Pallidocercospora ventilago
Lineage: Eukaryota; Fungi; Ascomycota; Dothideomycetes; Mycosphaerellales; Mycosphaerellaceae
Description: eukaryotic LSU rRNA
Rfam family: 5.8S ribosomal RNA (bases 186-339)
Source: RNAcentral